AAGUGGAGGGUUGAAGUGUGUGCAGUCUGCCUUGGUCAGGUGAGUGGCUGGUCUCUGUGCUUCAGCAGUACAGCCUCUCCUAAAAAACAAAACCUAAGCUGCAACUGUAGUUCUUCUGGGCAAGCUGUUAAUUUGUUUUGGUUCUCAGCAACUGAAGAUUGAGAAGACCUGAAGCAAGAAGUUUACCACUGGUACCUGAGAUGGUGGCAUUCAGGCUGUAGGCAAAAGUUUUCAUCUGUCAGAUAUUUGAUGAAAUGGGAAGUACAGCUGGAUUCACAGCACCUCUCUCCUUUCAUCUGUUGCAGCUAAAUCAAGCUCAGGCUGAGAGUGGAGUUAGGAACAGUGCAGGGAGCGUGUUGGGGUUACUGACGUGAGAGGUGAGGGGACUGAUAACUGCAGUUCAUGGGACUUCCCUGGGGAGUCUCUCUGGAUGCCUGGUCCUGUACAACAUCAUUGCCUGUGUUCGAGACCUUGGCACCACACAGUGACUUAUUGAAGUGUUUCUUAUGUAAAUCUCUGCAUGCUGACAGGAGUGAUAAGUAUUUCAACUACUUUUUUUCCUUCUGUCCACAAAACAUGCUACAGCCAGAAGCCCUGAUCCUGAACGGUUAAUGGGGAUCUUAUUAGGAUUGGUGCCUAGUGGUCUGAGUGCCUACACUUCAGAAAAAUACUUCAGCUUUUCAGAGCUGCUGUUCCCCUCUUACAGGAGGAAUACUGUAGCAGCCAGAUACCAUUCACUGAAUACUAAUGCUUGGAAGAAAAAUAACUACCCUGAUUUUUGUUUCAUCCCACAGAAAAGUUGGAAAGAAUUUGAUUUCUAGGGAGGUGCCCUACAACACCAACUAGCUGUUCAGCUGGAGGAAUUCACUAUGUAAUUGUAAUUCUGUAGCCUAGAGUAAAUGUAAAAUGAUCUAUUGAACUUGUCUGAUUUGGAAAGCAUUUUUACUCCAGAAAGCCUCAUGCAUGGCUCUGGAGAUGAUGAUGUUUUGAGCAUGGAUGGCAGUUAUGGUUUAUAAAACUGAUCUUUACAACAGUGUUCUGUUCUUGUACAGAAUACCAGCAGUUAAAUACAGAACUUAUUUUCCUCCAGGUUAUGUAUAAUUUCACCCCUAGUUCAGUAUCCUUGUUGUAUCUGAAGUUAUUUACAGGCAACUUUAAGGAAAGAUAGCUAAAACACUAAGCAUAGUGCAAAUUGAACAAAUAUUAUAAUUUUAAAGGACUACAGAAGGCUUUUGAAAUAGCAAUAUGAUUUUUAAUUAAGGUAGAAACACUUUUAUGUAUGGUUGUCAUCUUAGUAACUCUUUGAAUUGCUUAGUAGUUAAUGCUGUAUAAACCAAAGCUACUAUCUGUUUUGGAAAACAAAACAAA
Long non-coding RNA from Oxyura jamaicensis (ruddy duck), 1368 nucleotides. RefSeq lists it as uncharacterized. The transcript has 2 exons. Lineage: Eukaryota; Metazoa; Chordata; Aves; Anseriformes; Anatidae. The record is from RefSeq and is a predicted model, not a curated record.